RNAcentral lists this long non-coding RNA (249 nucleotides) under Elaeis guineensis (African oil palm). Its description in RNAcentral is "long non-coding RNA (EGUI_LNC042256)". Lineage: Eukaryota; Viridiplantae; Streptophyta; Magnoliopsida; Arecales; Arecaceae. The record is from RNAcentral.
ACAUAAUUAACUACUUCUUCAACUUAGUUAUUUUUGUUAUAAAAACAAAGAGGAAUAAUGUCCAUAUUUUUUUACAAGUGUAAUAUGGAACCUUAGAUUUAUACCUUUGACAUUUUGCAUUUGGUCUCCCAUGUCCAUUGUCUUGAUUUGCUUUAUCUCUACCUUAUCCUCCUCAUCCAUGACCAUUGCCAAGCUCAUAGCCUCUAUCAUGACCUUAGCUCUACCAUGGCCUUAAUUGCUUGGGUUUCC